UGGGGAAUUUUGGACAAUGGGGGAAACCCUGAUCCAGCCAUCCCGCGUGUGCGAUGAAGGCCUUCGGGUUGUAAAGCACUUUUGGCAGGAAAGAAACGUCAUGGGUUAAUACCCCGUGAAACUGACGGUACCUGCAGAAUAAGCACCGGCUAACUACGUGCCAGCAGCCGCGGUAAUACGUAGGGUGCAAGCGUUAAUCGGAAUUACUGGGCGUAAAGCGUGCGCAGGCGGUUCGGAAAGAAAGAUGUGAAAUCCCAGAGCUCGACUUUGGAACUGCAUUUUUAACUACCGGGCUAGGGUGUGUCAGAGGGAGGUGGAAUUCCGCGUGUAGCAGUGAAAUGCGUAGAUAUGCGGAGGAACACCGAUGGCGAAGGCAGCCUCCUGGGAUAACACUGACGCUCAUGCACGAAAGCGUGGGGAGCAAACAGG
RNAcentral lists this ribosomal RNA (429 nucleotides) under Acidobacteriota bacterium. RNAcentral describes it as "Acidobacteria bacterium partial 16S ribosomal RNA". It matches the Rfam family "Bacterial small subunit ribosomal RNA", at positions 355 to 776 of the family's 1533-position model. Lineage: Bacteria; Pseudomonadati; Acidobacteriota. The record is from RNAcentral.